RNAcentral lists this non-coding RNA (45 nucleotides) under Schistosoma mansoni. Lineage: Eukaryota; Metazoa; Platyhelminthes; Trematoda; Strigeidida; Schistosomatidae. The record is from RNAcentral.
AUUCAGCUGACGAGUCCUGAAUAGGAUGAAACGCGCGUUCUGGAU